UCAGUACGGCGAGUGAGCGGCAAAAGCUCAAAUUUGAAAUCUAGCACCUUCGGUGUUUGAGUUGUAAUUUGAAGAUGGUAACCUUGGGUUUGGCUCUUGUCUAUGUUCCUUGGAACAGGACGUCAUAGGGGGUGAGAAUCCCGUCUGAUGAGAUGCCCAUUCCUAUGUAAGGUGCUAUCGAAGAGUCGAGUUGUUUGGGAAUGCAGCUCUAAGUGGGUGGUAAAUUCCAUCUAAAGCUAAAUAUUGGCGAGAGACCGAUAGCGAACAAGUACAGUGAUGGAAAGAUGAAAAGAACUUUGAAAAGAGAGUGAAAAAGUACGUGAAAUUGUUGAAAGGGAAGGGCAUUAGAUCAGACUUGGUGUUUUACGAUUAUCUUCUCUUCUUGAGUUGUGCACUCGUAUUUCACUGGGCCAGCAUCGAUUCAGAUGGCAAGAUAAUGGCAGUUGAAUGUGGCUUCACUUCGGUGGAGUGUUAUAGCUUCUGCUGAUAUUGCCUGUCUGGAUCGAGGGCUGCGUCUUUUGACUAGGAUGCUGGCGUAAUGGUUAUUAAUCACCCGUCUU
Molecule: ribosomal RNA, 560 nt
Filed under: uncultured Wickerhamomyces
Lineage: Eukaryota; Fungi; Ascomycota; Saccharomycetes; Phaffomycetales; Phaffomycetaceae
Description: eukaryotic LSU rRNA
Rfam family: Eukaryotic large subunit ribosomal RNA
Source: RNAcentral